This 230-nucleotide ribosomal RNA is filed under the name uncultured bacterium. RNAcentral describes it as "partial 16S ribosomal RNA". It matches the Rfam family "Bacterial small subunit ribosomal RNA", at positions 104 to 334 of the family's 1533-position model. The record is from RNAcentral.
CGGGGUGGAGUAAUGUCUGGGAAACGGCCUGAUGGAAGGGGAUAACUACUGGAAACGGUAGCUAAUACCGCAUAACGUCUUCGGACCAAAGUGGGGGACCUUCGGGCCUCACGCCAUCGGAUGUGCCCAGAUGGGAUUAGCUAGUAGGUGGGGUAAUGGCUCACCUAGGCGACGAUCCCUAGCUGGUCUGAGAGGAUGACCAGCCACACUGGAACUGAGACACGGUCCAG